Molecule: non-coding RNA, 306 nt
Organism: Triticum urartu
Lineage: Eukaryota; Viridiplantae; Streptophyta; Magnoliopsida; Poales; Poaceae
Source: RefSeq, a predicted model, not a curated record
CGACAGCCCAGAAAGGAAACGGAGGAGGUUGCGCUUCUCCUGCUCGGUGCAUGCGGUGGCAGGAGAGGCCAAGAACAGUAGCAGGAUCAGCUGCAGCACGACCGGAGGAAUGGUGAAUGAAUGCAUUGGUUGAAAAACCACUUCAUGGUUGUGUUUUUCUCAUGCUUCCUGUCAGUUCCUCAGAAAUCAUAUUAAUGUCAUUUCCUUUGGGAGAAGUCUUGAACAAAAGCAGAAUUAAUGGUACAUAUCACAUAUGCAUCAUCCAUCAAUGUAAUAUUCCAGAUGCACAAAGAAUGGCCAUGGAUU